GGUUUGAUAGCUCAGCUGGGAGAGCGUGCGAGUGAAGAUCUAGAAGACUCAUUCGCAAGGCCGCUGGUUCAACCCCUGCUCGAACCA
Molecule: non-coding RNA, 87 nt
Organism: Saitozyma sp. JCM 24511
Lineage: Eukaryota; Fungi; Basidiomycota; Tremellomycetes; Tremellales; Trimorphomycetaceae
Source: the annotation of a GenBank genome assembly